RNAcentral lists this ribosomal RNA (253 nucleotides) under uncultured bacterium. Its description in RNAcentral is "partial 16S ribosomal RNA". It matches the Rfam family "Bacterial small subunit ribosomal RNA", at positions 524 to 776 of the family's 1533-position model. The record is from RNAcentral.
UACAGAGGUCCCAAGCGUUGUUCGGAUUCACUGGGCGUAAAGGGUGCGCAGGUGGGUUUGCAAGUUCGAUGUGAAAGCCCCGGGCUUAACCCGGGAAUGGCAUUGGAUACUGCAGAUCUGGAGGAUCGGAGGGGGGACUGGAAUUCUUGGUGUAGCAGUGAAAUGCGUAGAUAUCAGGAGGAACACCGAUGGCGAAGGCAGAUCUCUGGGCCGUAACUGACGCUGAGGAGCGAAAGCGUGGGGAGCGAACAGG